Molecule: transfer-messenger RNA, 168 nt
Filed under: Flavobacterium cupreum
Lineage: Bacteria; Pseudomonadati; Bacteroidota; Flavobacteriia; Flavobacteriales; Flavobacteriaceae
Description: partial transfer-messenger RNA
Rfam family: transfer-messenger RNA
About the family: Bacterial tmRNA, also known as 10Sa RNA or SsrA, is named for its dual tRNA and mRNA-like properties. Its role is to liberate the mRNA from a stalled ribosome.
Source: RNAcentral
ACUCGUCCGAUACUGGGUUACUUAGUAUUGGACUAAAUAAUAGGUAACUCGCUUGUACACAGCGUGCACGUCCGCGUUGUACCGGUUAAAUUAAAUGGCAGUGCUAAGUAUGUAGAACUGUCUGUAGAGUGCUUGCGGACGCGGGUUCGAUUCCCGCCGCCUCCACCA